GAAACCUCAUCUUGCACACGCCAUCCGGGCGCCAGAGCAGUGUUUUUUAUAAAACACGGACAUUCCGUCCGGGUGAGGAGAAAGG
Molecule: non-coding RNA, 85 nt
Filed under: unclassified sequences
Description: RAGATH-10 RNA
Rfam family: RAGATH-10 RNA
About the family: RNA motif Associated with Genes Associated with Twister and Hammerhead ribozymes (RAGATH).
Source: Rfam by way of RNAcentral